AUGGCGCGCUGCCGUCGUGCGACGGAUGCUGCAAGUCAUGCUCUGAGGCAUGGGUCCAAGAGUGCUCUUCGCUCGCAGCUUCGCGCACGGAGAGCCGACCGCCCAUCUCAUGUGAUGGGUGGCGAGAGCCGGGUGGUUGCGCCGGAUCCGCAGAGCGUCGCGGAGGGGGAGGAGGUGCAGCGGCUUCCGCGCCGUUGGGAUUCCUGGGCUCCUGCGAAGGGUGGCUCCGCACACGAUCACCAGUGGCCAUGGCAUGGGAACCAUCUCGAUGGUCGUGAGGCCAAUUGUGGGAGUUCUUGA
Molecule: ribosomal RNA, 300 nt
Filed under: Triticum aestivum (bread wheat)
Lineage: Eukaryota; Viridiplantae; Streptophyta; Magnoliopsida; Poales; Poaceae
Description: partial small subunit ribosomal RNA
Source: RNAcentral